Long non-coding RNA from Triticum aestivum (bread wheat), 1485 nucleotides. RefSeq lists it as uncharacterized. The record is from RefSeq and is a predicted model, not a curated record. The transcript has 3 exons. NCBI's taxonomy places the organism in Eukaryota, Viridiplantae, Streptophyta, Magnoliopsida, Poales, Poaceae.
UCUUCCUCGCUCUACCAGCGCCGCCGUCCUCCCUCCACCUUAGCGCCGCCCGCCUCCCUUCCUCGGCUGCCCUGCCUUCCUCCACCGACCACUAGCCACCGGAGGUGUGGAUACUGCCUCGACCACCUGCUCCCACCCCGCCAUGACCCCUCACCCUUGGGUUGCUGGAUCCCGUCCGUUGAGCGCCGAAUCUCGUCGGCCCUGGAGCCGCGCGAACACCACAGCUCCCAUCUUGGCCCCGGCCGCCAUCCCCCUACCCUCGAGCUCCACUCCAGAAUCCCGCCUUUUACCCCUCAAGCUCCACCGCCGGGAUCCCACUGUUGAUGAACCCUGCCUCCAUCAGCUCCACUUCACCAGAGUCGUCAGUCCGCAGGUGUAGGGGUCACAGGUUCACCCGAUCGUAAAAAAGAAAUAAACUGGUGCGUCUUGACGCCAUGACAAGCUAGCCCUUUGAGCACUUUGGAGACCUUGUGCGUAGUAAGAACUGGAAACAAAUGCUCACUUUCAGUACAAAACAGUGUGGUAGAAAUCUAUGGAUGGAUGAUGGUUAGUGUGGUUGAAUGGUUCAGCUUGCGUGUGUAUUUCUCAUUGUUCAUUUCAGUUUGGUUAUGCUACUCGGAUGGUUUAGAAGCACAUGUUUGAAGAUGAUUUCUCUCCAUGUUUGGUUUUGCCUUUCCCGCUGAUCUAUUUUUUCUCUGAACUUUCAGUUAUGGCUGCUUAUAGAGAAGAGAGAUGGUCAACAUUGUUUGCUUGUGUAUGCUAGUGAAGUGGCACGAUUCAUUUUUCUUGUACUUUAACUACAAACUUUUGAGAAAGUACGCCCUCUUUGUUUUUGAGAAAAGUUCAAGUAUGAUUGUUUGAAAAGUACAAAAAUGAAUGUCUUGAAUAACAUCAAAAAAAUAUGUGUUAAAUGCCUUAGACGUGAGUCCUCUAAAGCUAAUUAAUAGUCUGUAUAAUAGCAAACUUUAAGAUGUCUUUCAUUUCCUUAUCUUAUUUCAGUGAGAAUUCCUCCAAUAAACUGUUAUUCUUAUUUCAGUGACACACUCAGUUUAGUCCACGAGUGGUUCUGCCUCGCGUCCGGUCGACGGCAUCCACGAGCGCGAGCAGCCCGUAUCCGGCGGCAAGAUGAAGGUCACCCAUGAACCAUGCUUCCCCUAAUCACCUCCACCUUGUGUGAAUUCGCAGCUGAGAAUAAGCACAAGCACCUACAGUCCCCCGGUGGCUUUGGCCGCACUUGGCUACUAGCUCGUCCACCAUGGUGACUCGUAGCCGUCCAAGUGGAACGCGGACAUCAGUCCAAGCAGAACUAGUUCGUAUAAACUGACUGUUAUGUAUAAUUAGGGGAUCCAAUGUUGAAAAGUUCAAUUAAGCUGUGUGUGCAAAUUCAAAGAAUUAUUGUAGGAAAGUUUAGAAGUUUGUUUUUGUGAGGAAAAUGUAUGAUUUUCAAUCAGUAUUUGGUGUGAUUCAUUUGCCUCGGGUGCAACC